RNAcentral lists this unclassified non-coding RNA (343 nucleotides) under soil metagenome. Its description in RNAcentral is "partial contains 5.8S ribosomal RNA, internal transcribed spacer 2, and large subunit ribosomal RNA". The stretch from base 1 to 120 matches the Rfam family "5.8S ribosomal RNA", at positions 35 to 154 of the family's 154-position model. The record is from RNAcentral.
GAUGAAGAACGCAGCGAAAUGCGAUAAGUAAUGUGAAUUGCAGAAUCCAGUGAAUCAUCGAAUCUUUGAACGCACAUUGCGCCCGCCAGCAUUCUGGCGGGCAUGCCUGUUCGAGCGUCAUUUCAACCCUCGACCUCCCCUUGGGGAGGUCGGCGUUGGGGACCGGCAGCACACCGCCGGCCCUGAAAUGGAGUGGCGGCCCGUCCGCGGCGACCUCUGCGUAGUAAUACAGCUCGCACCGGAACCCCGACGCGGCCACGCCGUAAAACACCCAACUUCUGAACGUUGACCUCGAAUCAGGUAGGACUACCCGCUGAACUUAAGCAUAUCAAUAAGAGGAGGA